RNAcentral lists this ribosomal RNA (170 nucleotides) under uncultured rumen bacterium. Its description in RNAcentral is "partial 16S ribosomal RNA". It matches the Rfam family "Bacterial small subunit ribosomal RNA", at positions 338 to 525 of the family's 1533-position model. The record is from RNAcentral.
CCUACGGGAGGCAGCAGUGGGGAAUAUUGCACAAUGGAGGAAACUCUGAUGCAGCGACGCCGCGUGAGUGAAGAAGUAUUUCGGUAUGUAAAGCUCUAUCAGCAGGAAAGAAAAUGACGGUACCUGACUAAGAAGCCCCGGCUAACUACGUGCCAGCAGCCGCGGUAAUA